This 444-nucleotide ribosomal RNA is filed under the name uncultured eukaryote. Its description in RNAcentral is "bacterial SSU rRNA". It matches the Rfam family "Eukaryotic small subunit ribosomal RNA", at positions 1214 to 1669 of the family's 1831-position model. The record is from RNAcentral.
CUCACCAGGUCAGGACACGGUAAGGAUUGACGGACUGAAGGCUCUUUCUCGAUUCCGUGGAAAGUGGUGCAUGGCUGUUUUUGGUUGGUGGAUCGAUCCGUCUGGUUAAUUCCGUUAACGAACGAGACCUCGGCACUCCGAAUAGCGCGGCGGACGUCGCGGCCUCCGGGCCGUCUUCCGCACGAGCUUCUUAGAGGGACCGUCCCCCGCCGGGGAAGGAGGUGCGAGGCAACGACAGGUCUGUGAUGCCCUUAGAUGUUCUGGGCCGCACGCGCAUUACACUGACGCGUCCAACGGGUGACUCCCGACCCGAAGGGGCCGGGGAAUCCGCAAGGCGCGUCGUGAUGGGGAUUGAACGUUGCAAUUGUUGUUCACGAACGAGGAAUUCCUAGUAGGCGCGGGUCAUCAACCCGCGCCGAUUACGUCCCUGCCCUUUGUACACAC